Molecule: ribosomal RNA, 301 nt
Filed under: uncultured bacterium
Lineage: Bacteria
Description: partial 16S ribosomal RNA
Rfam family: Bacterial small subunit ribosomal RNA
Source: RNAcentral
CAGCAGCCGCGGGAAAACGGAGGGUGCAAGCGUUAAUCGGAAUUACUGGGCGUAAAGCGUGCGUAGGCGGUUCGUUAAGUCUGUUGUGAAAGCCCCGGGCUCAACCUGGGAAUGGCAAUGGAUACUGGCGAGCUAGAGUGUGUCAGAGGAUGGUGGAAUUCCCGGUGUAGCGGUGAAAUGCGUAGAGAUCGGGAGGAACAUCAGUGACGAAGGCGGCCAUCUGGGACAACACUGACGCUGAGGCACGAAAGCGUGGGGAGCAAACAGGAUUAGAUACCCGUGUAGUCCCUGUCUCUUAUAC